CUAUGGAGAACUAGCAGUGACGGAAGUCAUUGUUUAGACUCUUAGUCGACGCACAUUCAUUCAGGUAUUGUUUGGUUUUUAAAGCUCUUGCUAUUUAUGGGGAAGCGCAAGCGCCCCCUGUUUUGUAUGAGCCCAGUUUGAACCUUGAAAACUUCACAGAGAAGAUACAAACAGAAGUCCUGGAUAUUUGUGAUGAAUGUCUAGGCAAAAAGAAACACCUCUUGAGGAAGCAAUUCCGAGAGAGCAAAAGAAAGUCUAGGAACGCAAGUUCUUAGAGCUGACUAAACUA
Molecule: unclassified non-coding RNA, 289 nt
Filed under: uncultured Bacillota bacterium
Lineage: Bacteria; Bacillati; Bacillota
Description: uncultured Firmicutes bacterium 16S-23S ribosomal RNA intergenic spacer
Source: RNAcentral